AAUUCCUAGAGGAUCCUGGCUGGGGGCUACUAGUUGCUGGCAGGAGGCCGGGAGGCGGAGAGGGCUCAGAUAAAGAUCAAGGUCAAUGAAAGGAGAAGCAACAAAUACAAGCUAGUCGGGACAGAGAGAAAAGGAGGGCAGAAACACCCAGAGAGGAGGACACGAGACCCCCUUCAGACCCCUCAGGCUGGGAGGAGACACCGGCUCAGCCUAGAGCUCCCUCUCUGGGGGCAGAAACGUGAGGCACCCACAGGGCAGAAGAGGAGUAAGAAACUUAUUAACAAGAGCACAUUAUUCAUAGCAGUGACUGAGAACCAAAUUCCUGGCAAAGCUUGAACAACUGUGGCAAAAACCUGCCCGGAGUGCUUCCUGCCUUCUCACUGAGAUUCAGAAUAAACACUUCCUAAAGCCUUGUCGUCACCACACAAUGUGUAGGAGCUUCUAUAUACAGUGGAUUCUCAUUAGUCCCUGUAGUUAUGUUCUAUACAGUCACUGCAAACACUCACUGAGCUAGCAAAUACCGAACAGUUGUUUCUGGGGGAAUUGCAGGGUUAAGUUCCUGAGAGCCCCUGGUUACAUUUUCAUCAACCCAUCAAUACACAACCUCCUUUUAUGUAUGCGUGCUUGUGUUUAGUUAAUAGAUACUGCUGAUCCAUCAACAUCAAAUUCACGGCUGAGGGGCACUAUAACUCACACCUGAACCAAACCUACCUUACACCUGUAUUUUCUCUCAAGGCACAUCACAGCAGUCUCGUGCUUAGAACAGUAGACAGCACUUCAGCACUCUGCUUAGGCCCAUUUUAAACAGCAAAAUCAGGGGCGCCUGGGUGGCUCAGUCGGUUAAGCGGCCGACUUCGGCUCAGGUCACGAUCUCGCGGUCCGUGAGCUCGAGCCCUGCGUCAGGCUCUGUGCUGACAGCUUGGAGCCUGGAGCCUGUUUCGGAUUCUGUGUCUCCCUCUCUCUGACCCUCCCCCGUUCAUGCUCUGUCUCUCUCUGCCUCAAAAAUAAAUAAACGUUAAAAAAAAAAAUUUAAACAGCAAAAU
Acinonyx jubatus (cheetah) is the source of this 1043-nucleotide long non-coding RNA. RefSeq lists it as uncharacterized. The record is from RefSeq and is a predicted model, not a curated record. NCBI's taxonomy places the organism in Eukaryota, Metazoa, Chordata, Mammalia, Carnivora, Felidae. The transcript is spliced from 3 exons.